UGCAAGUCGAGCGAACAGAAGGGAGCUUGCUCCCGGAUGUUAGCGGCGGACGGGUGAGUAACACGUGGGUAACCUGCCUGUAAGACUGGGAUAACUCCGGGAAACCGGAGCUAAUACCGGAUAGUUCCUUGAACCGCAUGGUUCAAGGAUGAAAGACGGUUUCGGCUGUCACUUACAGAUGGACCCGCGGCGCAUUAGCUAGUUGGUGGGGUAAUGGCUCACCAAGGCGACGAUGCGUAGCCGACCUGAGAGGGUGAUCGGCCACACUGGGACUGAGACACGGCCCAGACUCCUACGGGAGGCAGCAGUAGGGAAUCUUCCGCAAUGGACGAAAGUCUGACGGAGCAACGCCGCGUGAGUGAUGAAGGUUUUCGGAUCGUAAAGCUCUGUUGUUAGGGAAGAACAAGUGCGAGAGUAACUGCUCGCACCUUGACGGUACCUAACCAGAAAGCCACGGCUAACUACGUGCCAGCAGCCGCGGUAAUACGUAGGUGGCAAGCGUUGUCCGGAAUUAUUGGGCGUAAAGGGCUCGCAGGCGGUUUCUUAAGUCUGAUGUGAAAGCCCCCGGCUCAACCGGGGAGGGUCAUUGGAAACUGGGAAACUUGAGUGCAGAAGAGGAGAGUGGAAUUCCACGUGUAGCGGUGAAAUGCGUAGAGAUGUGGAGGAACACCAGUGGCGAAGGCGACUCUCUGGUCUGUAACUGACGCUGAGGAGCGAAAGCGUGGGGAGCGAACAGGAUUAGAUACCCUGGUAGUCCACGCCGUAAACGAUGAGUGCUAAGUGUUAGGGGGUUUCCGCCCCUUAGUGCUGCAGCUAACGCAU
RNAcentral lists this ribosomal RNA (822 nucleotides) under Bacillaceae bacterium ACEMC 16-2. RNAcentral describes it as "bacterial SSU rRNA". It matches the Rfam family "Bacterial small subunit ribosomal RNA", at positions 56 to 860 of the family's 1533-position model. The record is from RNAcentral. Lineage: Bacteria; Bacillati; Bacillota; Bacilli; Caryophanales; Bacillaceae.